Molecule: ribosomal RNA, 526 nt
Filed under: Drancourtella sp. An12
Lineage: Bacteria; Bacillati; Bacillota; Clostridia; Eubacteriales; Oscillospiraceae
Description: bacterial SSU rRNA
Rfam family: Bacterial small subunit ribosomal RNA
Source: RNAcentral
CUUUUCUUCGGAACAUUGGAGACAGGUGGUGCAUGGUUGUCGUCAGCUCGUGUCGUGAGAUGUUGGGUUAAGUCCCGCAACGAGCGCAACCCUUAUCUUCAGUAGCCAGCAAUUCGGUUGGGCACUCUGGAGAGACUGCCAGGGAGAACCUGGAGGAAGGUGGGGAUGACGUCAAAUCAUCAUGCCCCUUAUGGCCAGGGCUACACACGUGCUACAAUGGCGUAAACAAAGGGAAGCGAGCAUGUGAGUGUGAGCAAAUCUCAAAAAUAACGUCUCAGUUCGGAUUGUAGUCUGCAACUCGACUACAUGAAGCUGGAAUCGCUAGUAAUCGCGGAUCAGCAUGCCGCGGUGAAUACGUUCCCGGGUCUUGUACACACCGCCCGUCACACCAUGGGAGUCAGUAACGCCCGAAGCCAGUGACCCAACCUUUAGGAGGGAGCUGUCGAAGGCGGGACGGAUAACUGGGGUGAAGUCGUAACAAGGUAGCCGUAUCGGAAGGUGCGGCUGGAUCACCUCCUUUCUAAGG